CCUACGGGUGGCUGCAGUGAGGAAUAUUGGUCAAUGGGCUUACGCCUGAACCAGCCAAGUCGCGUGAGGGAAGACUGCCCUAUGGGUUGUAAACCUCUUUUGUCAGGGAGCAACGCCGGCUACGUGUAGCCGGACUGAGAGUACCUGAAGAAAAAGCAUCGGCUAACUCCGUGCCAGCAGCCGCGGUAAUACGGAGGAUGCGAGCGUUAUCCGGAUUUAUUGGGUUUAAAGGGUGCGUAGGCGGAAUGCCAAGUCAGCGGUAAAAUCGCGGGGCUCAACCUCGCUCCGCCGUUGAAACUGGCGUUCUUGAGUGGGCGAGAAGAAGGCGGAAUGCGUGGUGUAGCGGUGAAAUGCAUAGAUAUCACGCAGAACCCCGAUUGCGAAGGCAGCCUUCCGGCGCCCUACUGACGCUGAGGCACGAAAGUGCGGGGAUCGAACAGGAUUAGAUACCCGUGUAGUC
RNAcentral lists this ribosomal RNA (460 nucleotides) under uncultured bacterium. Its description in RNAcentral is "partial 16S ribosomal RNA". It matches the Rfam family "Bacterial small subunit ribosomal RNA", at positions 338 to 795 of the family's 1533-position model. The record is from RNAcentral.